GAGCAGUGCGGCGUGCUAUACAUGCAGUCGAGCGGACCGACGGGAGCUUGCUCCCUUAGGUCAGCGGCGGACGGGUGAGUAACACGUGGGUAACCUGCCUGUAAGACUGGGAUAACUCCGGGAAACCGGGGCUAAUACCGGAUGCUUGAUUGAACCGCAUGGUUCAAUCAUAAAAGGUGGCUUUUAGCUACCACUUGCAGAUGGACCCGCGGCGCAUUAACUAGUUGGUGAGGUAACGGCUCACCAAGGCGACGAUGCGUAGCCGACCUGAGAGGGUGAUCGGCCACACUGGGACUGAAACACGGCCCAGACUCCUACGGGAGGCAGCAGUAGGGAAUCUUCCGCAAUGGACGAAAGUCUGACGGAGCAACGCCGCGUGAGUGAUGAAAGGUUUUCGGAUCGUAAAACUCUGUUGUUAGGGAAGAACAAGUACCGUUCGAAUAGGGCGGUACCUUGACGGUACCUAACCAGAAAGCCACGGCUAACUACGUGCCAGCAGCCGCGGUAAUACGUAAGUGGCAAGCGUUGUCCGGAAUUAUUGGGCGUAAAGCGCGCGCAGGCGGUUUCUUAAGUCUGAUGUGAAAGCCCCCGGCUCAACCGGGGAGGGUCAUUGGAAACUGGGGAACUUGAGUGCAGAAGAGGAGAGUGGAAUUCCACGUGUAGCGGUGAAAUGCGUAGAGAUGUGGAGGAACACCAGUGGCGAAGGCGACUCUCUGGUCUGUAACUGACGCUGAGGCGCGAAAGCGUGGGGAGCGAACAGGAUUAGAUACCCUGGUAGUCCACGCCGUAAACGAUGAGUGCUAAGUGUUAGAGGGUUUCCGCCCUUUAGUGCUGCAGCAAACGCAUUAAGCACUCCGCCUGGGGAGUACGGUCGCAAGACUGAAACUCAAAGGAAUUGACGGGGGCCCGCACAAGCGGUGGAGCAUGUGGUUUAAUUCGAAGCAACGCGAAGAACCUUACCAGGUCUUGACAUCCUCUGACAACCCUAGAGAUAGGGCUUCCCCUUCGGGGGCAGAGUGACAGGUGGUGCAUGGUUGUCGUCAGCUCGUGUCGUGAGAUGUUGGGUUAAGUCCCGCAACGAGCGCAACCCUUGAUCUUAGUUGCCAGCAUUCAGUUGGGCACUCUAAGGUGACUGCCGGUGACAAACCGGAGGAAGGUGGGGAUGACGUCAAAUCAUCAUGCCCCUUAUGACCUGGGCUACACACGUGCUACAAUGGGCAGAACAAAGGGCAGCGAAGCCGCGAGGCUAAGCCAAUCCCACAAAUCUGUUCUCAGUUCGGAUCGCAGUCUGCAACUCGACUGCGUGAAGCUGGAAUCGCUAGUAAUCGCGGAUCAGCAUGCCGCGGUGAAUACGUUCCCGGGCCUUGUACACACCGCCCGUCACACCACGAGAGUUUGUAACACCCGAAGUCGGUGAGGUAACCUUUGGAGCCAGCCGCCGAAGGUGACAAAAAGG
Molecule: ribosomal RNA, 1456 nt
Filed under: uncultured bacterium
Lineage: Bacteria
Description: bacterial SSU rRNA
Rfam family: Bacterial small subunit ribosomal RNA
Source: RNAcentral